AACGAACGCUGGCGGCAUGCCUAACACAUGCAAGUCGAACGAGACCUUCGGGUUUAGUGGCGCACGGGUGCGCAACGCGUGGGAACCUGCCCUUAGGUUCGGAAUAACUCCCCGAAAGGGGUGCUAAUACCGGAUAAUGUCUUCGGACCAAAGAUUUAUCGCCUUUGGAUGGGCCCGCGUUGGAUUAGCUAGUUGGUAGGGUAAAAGCCUACCAAGGCGACGAUCCAUAGCUGGUCUGAGAGGAGGAUCAGCCACACUGGGACUGAGACACGUCCCAGACUCCUACGGGAGGCAGCAGUGGGGAAUAUUGGACAAUGGGCGAAAGCCUGAUCCAGCAAUGCCGCGUGAGUGAUGAAGGCCUUAGGGUUGUAAAGCUCUUUUACCCGGGAUGAUAAUGACAGUACCGGGAGAAUAAGCUCCGGCUAACUCCGUG
This 433-nucleotide ribosomal RNA is filed under the name uncultured bacterium. RNAcentral's name for it is "partial 16S ribosomal RNA". It matches the Rfam family "Bacterial small subunit ribosomal RNA", at positions 29 to 507 of the family's 1533-position model. The record is from RNAcentral.